Molecule: ribosomal RNA, 582 nt
Filed under: Pseudomonas sp. M1-6
Lineage: Bacteria; Pseudomonadati; Pseudomonadota; Gammaproteobacteria; Pseudomonadales; Pseudomonadaceae
Description: bacterial SSU rRNA
Rfam family: Bacterial small subunit ribosomal RNA (bases 41-506)
Source: RNAcentral
UUAUAAUGAUCGUAUAACGGGUAACCCCUAGAAUUCAACAGGGGGGUGGUUCGGGUUCCCGCUUUCCUCCUGGGGAGAGCGGCGGACGGGUGAGUAAUGCCUAGGAUUCUGCCUGGAGGUGGGGAAUAACGUUCGGAAACGCACGCUAAUCCCGCAUACGUCCUACGGGAGAAAGCAGGGGACCUUCGGGCCUUGCGCUAUCAAUGAGCCUAGGUCGGAUUACUAGUUGGUGAGGAAUGGCUCACCAAGGCGACAUCCGUAACUGGUCUGAGAGGAUGAUCAGUCACACUGGAACUGAGACACGGUCCAACUCCUACGGGAGGAGCUGGGGAAUAUUGGACAAUGGGCAAAGCCUGAUCCAGCCUGCCGCGUGACGGUGAACGAAGGUCUCUCCGAAUUGAAAGACUUUAAGUUGGGAGGAAGGGUUGUAGAUUAAUACUCUGAAUUUUGACGUUACCGACAGAAUAACUCGGCUAACUCUGUGCCAGCGGUAAUACAGGGGCACGCUUAAUCAAUUACUGGCAAAAGGAGUUGUAGUCGACGAAUCCCGGUCACUGACUCGCUCCACUACGACUGACAAAU